CCUACGGGAGGCAGCAGUAGGGAAUUUUUCACAAUGGGCGAAAGCCUGAUGGAGCAACGCCGCGUGCAGGAUGAAGGCCUUCGGGUUGUAAACUGCUUUUAUAAGCGAGAAAUAUGAUGGUAACUUAUGAAUAAGGAUCGGCUAACUACGUGCCAGCAGCCGCGGUCAUACGUAGAAUCCGAGCAUUAUCCGGGGUGACUGGGUGUAAAGAGUUGCGUAGGUGGCAUAAUAAGUAGCUAGUGAAAUCUGGUGGCUCAACCAUUCAGACUAUUAGCUAAACUGUUAAGCUCGAGACCGUUAGGGGUAACUGGAAUUUCUAGUGUAGGAGUGAAAUCCGUAGAUAUUAGAAGGAACACCAAUAGCGUAGGCAGGUUGCUGGGACGGUUCUGACACUAAGGCACGAAAGCGUAGGGAGCAAACGGGAUUAGAUACCCUAGUAGUC
Molecule: ribosomal RNA, 442 nt
Filed under: uncultured bacterium
Lineage: Bacteria
Description: partial 16S ribosomal RNA
Rfam family: Bacterial small subunit ribosomal RNA
Source: RNAcentral